RNAcentral lists this ribosomal RNA (465 nucleotides) under Vreelandella stevensii. Its description in RNAcentral is "partial 16S ribosomal RNA". It matches the Rfam family "Bacterial small subunit ribosomal RNA", at positions 338 to 795 of the family's 1533-position model. The record is from RNAcentral. Lineage: Bacteria; Pseudomonadati; Pseudomonadota; Gammaproteobacteria; Oceanospirillales; Halomonadaceae.
CCUACGGGUGGCUGCAGUGGGGAAUAUUGGACAAUGGGCGAAAGCCUGAUCCAGCCAUGCCGCGUGUGUGAAGAAGGCCUUCGGGUUGUAAAGCACUUUCAGUGGGGAAGAAAGCCUUGGGGCUAAUACCCUCGAGGAAGGACAUCACCCACAGAAGAAGCACCGGCUAACUCCGUGCCAGCAGCCGCGGUAAUAAGGAGGGUGCGAGCGUUAAUCGGAAUUACUGGGCGUAAAGCGCGCGUAGGCGGUCUGAUAAGCCGGUUGUGAAAGCCCCGGGCUCAACCUGGGAACGGCAUCCGGAACUGUCAGGCUAGAGUGCAGGAGAGGAAGGUAGAAUUCCCGGUGUAGCGGUGAAAUGCGUAGAGAUCGGGAGGAAUACCAGUGGCGAAGGCGGCCUUCUGGACUGACACUGACGCUGAGGUGCGAAAGCGUGGGUAGCAAACAGGAUUAGAUACCCCGGUAGUC